Molecule: RNA transcript, 8012 nt
Organism: Mus musculus (house mouse)
Lineage: Eukaryota; Metazoa; Chordata; Mammalia; Rodentia; Muridae
Gene: Tecta
Gene name: tectorin alpha
Exons: 23
Source: RefSeq, marked validated
AUUUUUAUUCUUACAUAGACACACAUACAUGUGUGUGUGUGCGUGUGUGUACACAACCCACUGAGCCCAUUUAAUGUUGCUUGUAUGUGCAUUUGUCCUGGGCUAAUUGCUUGGGAUUGAAUUUAGCUUACUGGAAUCCUGCAAGCAUCAAGCUGAACACAGUUUUCCUUUGUUUGAACAAAGUUCUUCCUGGACACUUUGAGCAAGAGAGGCCUGUCCCCCCUCCCAAUGAAGACCCUCAGGGGCACGAGUGGAGGUGUUACAGGCGUAAUUUUCCUUUCCCCACUUUGUUCUGCCUGGGAGAUGCCACUGCUCACCUGUCUAAGAGUCAGAGAGAAGAAGGAAUGAAACCUUGACACAUCUGGGAAAAUUUCUUUAAAUACUUUAUACAUGUCUGUAGGGGACAAACAGGGUAAAGCCUGUAUGUGAACAAUAGGAGAGGAGGGAACGAGAGAAAGAUAGAUUUAAAAAAAAGAAAAGAGACAUAAAGAGAAAGAAAAAACAGAGGGAGAGAGAGAGAGAGAGAGAGAGAGAGAGAGAGAGAGAGAGAGAGAGAGAGAGAGAAACGGACUUCAUUUAAAUGUGCCGGGAGCCCCCUUUGUCGGGUUUCUCCCAUGCUGGAGGAUGCUAAUUCUGUAAUGCUAGACAGUUGCCUUCUUUUGGGUACAAAGACAGAAAGGGAGGGUUUCUUUUGUGUUUUUCAGAGCAAAGUGAUUCUGAUCAGAGAGAACCAAGGUUUCAGCUCCAAGUACCUGACAUUUCCAUCUGAAUCCACUUUUUUUUCUUCUCUUUUUAAAGGAGGGGGGAGGUCUAGUUUUUCAGGAAAAGAGCCUCUCCGCGCAAUCCUGAAACUGAUCUUCAGAUUUACCUCUCCUUAAUCAAUAGAGAGCAACUUGAUUGCAACUCAACACUCCCCCGACUCUAGUGCAGGACUAACUGAAUUUUUGGUUUUAAGAGUAUGGGAUUCGGACGUGAUUUCAGGGAUCAGAAAUAAUUGGCAGCCACGCGAGGAGAACUGACGUGAAUUCUUAUACCUAAUUUUCCGGGCUCACCAAGAUUUGACUUAAUACUUUUCACUCAAUUCCUCCAGUCUCCACAGAACAGGAUGAAUUAUUCAUCAUUACUUAGAAUUUGGGUCUCUUUCAUCUUCGCUCUUGUUCGGCACCAAGCUCAGCCCAGGGAGCUCAUGUAUCCAUUUUGGCAGAAUGACACGAGAACCCCUAAAGUAGAUGACGGAAGCUCCUCUGAGAUUAAGUUGGCCAUCCCCGUCUUCUUCUUUGGUGUUCCUUACCGCACCGUCUAUGUCAAUAACAAUGGUGUUGUUUCCUUCAACGUGCUAGUGAGCCAGUUUACACCAGAGUCCUUUCCCCUGACGGACGGGAGGGCCUUCAUUGCUCCAUUCUGGGCAGAUGUGCACAAUGGAAUUCGGGGUGAGAUCUAUUACAGAGAAACCAUGGACCCCGCCAUCCUGAGAAGAGCCACCAAGGACAUCAGGAAGUACUUCAAAGACAUGACCACCUUCUCUGCCACUUGGGUUUUCAUUGUGACCUGGGAGGAAGUCACGUUUUACGGAGGCAGCAGUACCACGCCUGUGAACACCUUCCAGGCUGUGCUGGUAUCCGACGGCUCCUACACAUUCACGCUCUUUAAUUACUAUGAGAUCAACUGGACGACUGGGACAGCCAGCGGUGGCGACCCUCUAACAGGCCUUGGAGGUGUGAUGGCACAGGCAGGAUUUAAUGGUGGAAACCUCACGAAUUUCUUCAGUCUUCCGGGAUCAAGGACCCCUGAGAUUGUAAAUAUUCAAGAGACCACAAAUGUCAAUGUUCCAGGACGCUGGGCAUUUAAAGUUGACGGGAAGGAAAUUGACCCGGCCAAUGGCUGCACCUCUAGAGGACAGUUCCUUCGUCGAGGGGAGGUGUUUUGGGAUGACCUGAACUGUACCAUCAAGUGUCGCUGUCUGGAUUUCAACAAUGAGAUCUACUGUCAGGAGGCCUCCUGUAGCCCCUACGAGGUGUGCGAACCCAAGGGUCGGUUCUUCUACUGCAGCCCAGUGGAGACCAGUACCUGUGUGGUAUUCGGGGAGCCACACUACCACACCUUUGAUGGCUUCCUCUUCCACUUCCAAGGCUCGUGUGCUUACCUGUUGGCCCGACAGUGUCUACAAACCUCCAGCCUCCCCUUCUUCAGUGUGGAGGCCAAGAACGAGCACCGAGGGGGCUCUGCUGUCUCGUGGGUAAAGGAGCUCUCUGUCGAGGUCAAUGGCUACAAGAUUCUCAUUCCUAAAGGAAGCUAUGGGAAAGUCAAGGUUAAUGACCUAGUGACUUCUUUGCCCGUCACCUUAGAGUUGGGGGCGGUGAAAAUCUACCAGAGUGGCAUGUCUACUGCCGUGGAAACAGAUUUUGGGCUCUUAGUGACGUUUGACGGCCAGCACUACGCCUCCAUUUCCAUCCCAGGCUCUUACAUAAACUCUACCUGUGGCCUAUGCGGGAACUACAACAAAAAUCCACUGGAUGACUUCCUCCGCCCCGAUGGCAGGCCCGCCAUGUCGGUGCUGGACCUAGGAGAGAGCUGGCGUGUCUACCAUGCUGACUGGAAGUGUGGCUCUGGCUGUGUAGACAAUUGUACUCAGUGUGAUGCAGCCACUGAGGCCCUCUACUUUGGUUCUGACUACUGCGGCUUCCUCAACAAGACGGAUGGCCCCCUGUGGGAGUGCGGCACUGUUGUGGAUGCCACGGCUUUUGUACACAGCUGUGUGUACGACCUGUGCAGUGUGAGGGACAACGGCACGCUCCUCUGCCAAGCCAUUCAGGCCUACGCCUUGGUGUGCCAAGCCCUUGGCAUCCCAAUCGGAGACUGGAGAAUCCAAACUGGGUGUGUGUCUACCGUGCGGUGCCCAAGCUUCAGCCAUUACUCUGUAUGUACCAGUAGCUGUCCGGACACCUGCUCGGACCUGACGGCCUCUCAGAACUGUGCCACUCCAUGCACGGAAGGUUGCGAGUGCAACGAGGGCUUUGUCCUCAGCACCAGCCAGUGUGUCCCUUUGCACAAGUGCGGCUGUGACUUCGAUGGCCACUACUAUACCAUGGGCGAGUUCUUCUGGGCCACCGCCAAUUGUACAGUGCAGUGCUUAUGCGAAGAGGGAGGGGAUGUCUACUGCUUCAACAAGACCUGCCGGAGUGGGGAGGUGUGUGCUGUGGAGGACGGUUACCAGGGCUGCUUCCCCAAGCGGGAGACGGUGUGCCUGCUCAGCCAGAACCAGGUACUACACACAUUUGAUGGCGCCGCCUACGCAUUCCCAUCCGAGUUAUCAUAUACCCUACUCAAGACCUGCCCUGAGCGUCCUGAGUACUUGGAAAUUGACAUCAACAAGAAGAAGCCUGAUGCAGGGCCAGCUUGGCUCCGGGGUGUUCGGAUCCUCGUGGCUGACCAAGAGGUCAAGAUAGGAGGCGUCGGGGCUUUGGAAGUCAAGCUAAAUGGUCAAGAUGUGGAAUUACCCUUUUUCCAUCCUUCGGGGAGGUUGGAGAUUCACAGAAACAAGAACAGCACAACUGUGGAGUCCAAGGGUGUGGUGUCCGUCCAGUACUCCGAUGUGGGACUACUGUACAUCCGACUGUCCACCAUGUACUUCAACUGUACUGGAGGCCUGUGUGGCUUCUUCAAUGCCAAUGCCAGUGAUGAGUUCUGCCUUCCUAAUGGCAAAUGCACAGACAACCUGGCGGUGUUCUUGGAGAGCUGGACAACAUUUGAGGAAAUCUGCAAUGGCGAGUGUGGGGACCUGCUGAAGGCCUGCAACAAUGACUCCGAGCUGCUCAAGUUCUACCGGAGCCGCUCCCGGUGUGGUAUCAUCAACGACCCCUCCAACAGCUCCUUCCUGGAGUGCCAUGGGGUGGUUAAUGUCACCGCCUACUACCGCACCUGCCUGUUUCGCCUGUGCCAGAGCGGAGGCAAUGAGUCAGAGCUGUGUGAUUCUGUGGCCCGCUAUGCCAGUGCUUGCAAGAAUGCAGAUGUGGAGGUGGGCCCCUGGAGGACCUAUGACUUCUGCCCUCUAGAAUGCCCGGAGAACAGCCAUUUUGAGGAGUGUAUGACAUGUACAGAGACCUGCGAGACCCUGGCCUUGGGCCCCAUCUGUGUGGACAGCUGCUCUGAGGGAUGCCAGUGUGAUGAAGGUUAUGCCCUGCAGGGCAGCCAGUGUGUCCCUCGGAGCGAGUGCGGCUGCAACUUUGAGGGGCAUCAACUUGCCACCAAUGAGACCUUCUGGGUAGACCAGGACUGCCAGAUCUUCUGCUACUGCAAUGGCACAGACAACAGUGUCCACUGUGAGACCAUUCCCUGCAGGGACGAUGAAUACUGUAUGGAAGAGAGUGGCUUGUACUACUGCCAGCCCCGUACUGAUGCUUCCUGUAUCGUCUCAGGCUAUGGUCACUACCUCACCUUUGAUGGCUACCCAUUUGACUUCCAGACCAGUUGUCCUCUUAUCCUCUGCACCACAGGAAGCAGACCAAUCUCAGACUCUUUCCCCAAGUUCAUUGUAACAGCCAAGAAUGAGGACCGGGACCCAUCUCUAGCCUUGUGGGUGAAGCAGGUGGACGUGAACGUGUUUGGCUACAGCAUUGUGAUACACCGGGCUUACAAGCACACUGUGUUGGUCAACAAUGAGCGGUUGUACCUGCCCCUGAAGUUAGGACAAGGGAAGAUAAACAUCUUUUCAUUCGGCUUUCAUGUGGUUGUGGAGACUGACUUUGGCCUGAAGGUCGUGUAUGACUGGAAGACCUUCCUGUCCAUUACCGUCCCCCGGAGCAUGCAGAACGGCACCUAUGGCCUCUGUGGACGCUACAAUGGCAACCCCGAUGAUGACCUUGAGAUGCCCAUGGGGCUGCCUGCACUGAGUAUCAACGAGUUUGGCCAGAGCUGGGUGAAGAGAGACACCUUCUGCCAGGUGGGCUGUGGGGACCGCUGCCCAUCCUGUGCCAAAGUGGAAGGUUUCUCCAAAGUACAGCAGCUGUGCAGCCUGAUCCCCAACCAGAAUGCUGGCUUUGCCAAAUGUCACAGCAAAGUCAACCCCACCUUCUUCUACAAAAACUGCCUGUUUGACUCCUGUAUCGAUGGGGGUGCCGUGCAGACAGCCUGCAGCUGGUUACAAAACUAUGCCAGCACUUGCCAGACUCAAGGAAUCGCAGUGACCGGCUGGAGGAACUACACGUCCUGUUCGGUUACCUGCCCCCCCAACAGCCACUAUGAGAGCUGUGUGAGCGUCUGCCAGCCCCGCUGCGCAGCCAUCCGCCUGAAGAGUGACUGUAAUCACUACUGCGUAGAGGGCUGCCAGUGUGAUGCAGGCUACGUCCUCAAUGGCAAGAGCUGCAUCUUGCCCCACAACUGUGGCUGCUACUCAGAUGGCAAAUACUAUGAGCCCAAGCAGCUAUUCUGGAAUGGGGACUGCACGCGGCGCUGCCGCUGUUUCAGGCGCAACCUGAUCCAGUGUGACCCACGCCAAUGCAAGUCAGAUGAGGAGUGCGCCCUGCGCAGUGGGGUGCGCGGCUGCUUCAGCACCAAAACCUCCUACUGCCUAGCGGCAGGGGGUGGUGUCUUCCGCACGUUCGAUGGUGCCUUCCUGCGCUUCCCUGCCAACUGCGCCUUCGUGCUCUCAACCAUCUGCCAGAAAUUGCCAGACAUCUCCUUCCAGCUCAUCAUCAACUUCGACAAGUGGUCCUCGCCCAACCUCACUAUCAUCUCACCGGUCUAUUUCUACAUUAACGAAGAGCAGAUUCUCAUCAACGAUCGGAACACUGUCAAGGUGAAUGGCACACAAGUAAAUGUUCCAUUUAUAACGGGCUUGGCAACCAAAAUCUACAGCAGCGAGGGGUUUCUGGUGAUCGACACCAGUCCCGACAUCCAGAUAUAUUACAAUGGUUUUAACGUCAUUAAAAUCAGCAUCAGUGAGAGGCUACAGAACAAAGUGUGUGGGCUCUGUGGGAACUUCAAUGGAGACAUGACUGACGACUACGUGACCUUGCGGGGGAAACCCGUGGUGAGCAGCGUGGUGCUGGCCCAGAGCUGGAAGACCAAUGGCAUGCAGAAGAGACCUCUCGCCCCCAGCUGCAACGAGCUACAGUUCUCACAGUAUGCAGCCACAUGUGACAAUGUGCACAUCCAGGCCAUGCAGGGUGACGGCUACUGCCUGAAACUCACCGACAUGAAGGGCUUCUUCCAGCCCUGCUAUGGGCUCCUUGAUCCCCUCCCGUUCUACGAGUCCUGUUACCUGGAUGGCUGCUACAACCACAAGAAGUUCCAGCUGUGUGGCUCCCUGGCUGCCUACGGGGAGGCCUGCCGCUCCUUCGGCAUCCUUAGCACCGAGUGGAUUGAGAAAGAGAAUUGCUCAGGAGUGGUUGAAGACCCUUGUGUGGGGGCGGAUUGUCCCAACAGGACCUGCGAGCUGGACAACGGAGGAGAAUUAUGUGGCUGCAUUGAGCCACCCCCCUAUGGAAACAAUUCCCAUGACAUCAUCGACGCGGAGGUGACCUGCAAGGCAGCCCAGAUGGAAGUGUCCAUAUCUAAGUGCAAGCUCUUCCAGCUGGGCUUUGAGAGAGAGGGUGUGAGAAUCAAUGACCGGCAGUGCUCUGGCAUCGAGGGCGAGGAUUUUAUCUCCUUUCAAAUCAACAACACCAAAGGGAACUGUGGGAACAUCGUGCAGUGUCAUCAACCUGACAGUUCCGACCCAGGAGGGCAGCUUCACCACCAAGAUGGCACUCUAUAAAAAUGCUUCCUACAAACACCCUUACCGCCAAGGGGAAGUUGUGCUGACAACUCGGGAUGUGCUGUACGUGGGCGUCUUUGUGGUCGGAGCUGACUCUACACACUUGAUUCUCACACUCAACAAAUGCUACGCCACCCCCUCCCGAGACAGCAACGACAAGCUUCGGUACUUCAUCAUCGAAGGAGGAUGUCAGAACAUCAAAGACAACACCAUUGGCAUAGAGGAGAACGGAGUGUCCCUAACCUGUCGUUUCCACGUCACCGUCUUCAAGUUCAUCGGAGACUACGAUGAAGUUCAUCUUCACUGUGCAGUGUCCCUCUGUGACUCAGAGAAAUACUCUUGCAAGAUUAAUUGCCCACAAAAUUCCAGGAUCGCCACAGAUUAUUCAAAAGAGCACAAAGAACAGAUCAUUUCAGUGGGACCCAUUAGGAGAAAAAGGCUGGACUGGUGUGAAGACAACGGCGGCUGUGAGCAGAUCUGCACCAGCCGGGUCGACGGGCCUCUGUGCAGCUGUGUGACCGGAUCCCUGCAAGAAGAUGGAAGGAGCUGCAGAGCCUCUAAUUCUUCAGUGGAACUUCAAGUUUGGACACUUCUUCUCAUCAUGACCCAGAUCUCACUGUGGCAUUUGAUCUAUAAAUCAGGCGCAACCUCAUAACGAACUCAGGGUGCUUUCUUCAGUCCCUGUAGGUAUAAAAGUGUGUGUCCCCAAGUCAAAACAGCCUCUCACACUCACGCCACCUUCCUCCAGCAGUCAGAUCUGGAGGACACCAACGUUCCUGGCUCCUCUUCCACAGUAUGCAAUAGUGGUUUCUCAAAGCCAAUGGGAGGAAAGCACGCUCUUACCCUCAAUGCCAAACAGCUGGCACUGGGUACCUAGGUUCAGGCCAGAAGCCAGCCAGGGAAAGCUCUGGCUACAGAAGUCUGAUGGGAAAGCUGGCCAGAAAAGUUGGUCUGUCCCGCGCUGUUUCUGGAACACCGUGGUUAUAGGCAAGGCUAUUGCUGUGACUUUGAAUUAAAGUUGCGUCUCUCUCUGUGGAGCCUCGCCAACACUGCCCUCAGCUCACUUUGCUUAGCUCCUCCCCCUCCUGCUGUGGCCUCCACCUUGCCGUGCCAGCUUCAGUCACUGGAGAUGAUGUUUGUAGACCUGGAGAACCUCACCCUGCCCGUCCCGAUCCUCAAACCCAGCCCUUCACAUUUUACAAAUCAACCAAAUAAUUUUUAAUGUGUUUUAUCCUUAAAUAAACUUUGUGUUCAAGUA